AGAAUCAACGCUGGCGGCGUGCCUAACACAUGCAAGUCGCACGAGAAAGGGGCUUCGGCUCUGAGUAAAGUGGCGCACGGGUGAGUAACACGUGACUAAUCUACCCUCGAGUGGGGAAUAACCUAGAGAAAUCUGGGCUAAUACCGCAUAACACUUACGAGUCAAAGCAGUAAUGCGCUUGGGGAGGAGGUCGCGGCCGAUUAGCUAGUUGGCGGGGUAAUGGCCCACCAAGGCGAUGGUCGGUA
RNAcentral lists this ribosomal RNA (245 nucleotides) under uncultured bacterium. RNAcentral describes it as "partial small subunit ribosomal RNA". It matches the Rfam family "Bacterial small subunit ribosomal RNA", at positions 26 to 285 of the family's 1533-position model. The record is from RNAcentral.